GGGCAUGUGCCCUGACCAGGAAUUGAACCUGUGACCUCCUGGAUCAUAGGUCAAUGCUCAACUGCUGAGCCACGCUGGCUAGGCCAUAGACGUAUUUUUAAGUGGAUUCUGGCUUUUUGUAAUGGAGAUUGUCCAGCACACACAGGAGUAAAGAGAACAGCCCAGUGAGCCCCUGCCCUGGUCCCCCAGCAUCAGUAAUUGCCAACAUUUCUUCAUUCUUCUUUCACCUCCCUGCCCCCUUCCAUUUGUGUCUCCCCUGCUCAAGUCUUUGGAAGCAAGCCCCAGACUUCCUGGCUGUAUGAAGCGGUUACGGUUAGUUUUCCAAAUGCGGACGGCUGUAGAGAGCUGGGGGAACUUGGGGAACAGGCUGUUUCCUGGGCUGUUGUGUCUGCAGAAGUGUGCACGGGCCACAGGACCUUCAGAAUUGUGUCUGAGCCUUGCAGGUGUUCCUAGGUGUCCAGUGUACCUGGGGGCAGCUCACCUGCCAGGGUUGUGGGGCUGCAUGUGCUCAGUGCUGGAAGGUGGGGGGGUCGUGGCGGGGAAGUGGCAUGUCUGGGAGGUGAGUGGGGGGCCUCUGAAAGCUGCUGUCCCCCACUCCCCAGGUAAAACAGAACACAGACCCCACCCUUUCCUGGGAGUGUGAGCAGGAGGCAGGAGGGCCUCCGGGGCUCAGCAGGCGCCUGUGUGGCCUGAAAGAUACAGUGGGAGGCUGGGGGGACCCAGGUCUGCAGCAUGUUUAGGUGGGAUGGUAGCCAGUCAGCCUGGACAGUGCUCUUCAUUCCUCCGUUGCCUUGACACCUGUCUGUCCGUCUUUCUUUUAGGCAACUGAUGGCACAGGAACCACUGGAAAAGCUGGGGUUUGGAGAUUUGAUGGAUGGAAAAGCAAACAGACGCUAAAUGUUCCUGGGAGACCCCAGCUGGUCAUCUGGGACAGAGCUGUGUGCUGACCUGUCACCCCGAUGGUCAUUUCUGGGUGGUGUGACUGAGAAAGGGGCGUCCGCAUGCCCGCAGAACACCUUGGGUGUUGCCCACAGCUAGGAAGCAGCUAAUCCUCUGAGCCUCCCGGGUUAUUUGGGGAAAUUAUCCUUCCUUUAGAUUCUCAUUUCCCUCAAGAGUGUUAAGUUCUGACUUUAAAUCCAUGUGUGACGGGGUCCCUGGGGAGGCCUGUGACGGUGAUGACCGAGGGCCCUGUAAUGUGGGGGCCUCUUCUUGUGACACUGGAUGUUCGUGAAUUUCAGAAAACUGUUCUCUAGCAAAGUGGUUUUCUCUUUUUUUUUUUUUAAACAAUAAAAAUGCAGGACCCAA
Non-coding RNA from Miniopterus natalensis, 1305 nucleotides. The record is from RefSeq and is a predicted model, not a curated record. NCBI's taxonomy places the organism in Eukaryota, Metazoa, Chordata, Mammalia, Chiroptera, Miniopteridae.